AAUCAACGCUGGCGGCGUGCCUAAUACAUGCAAGUCGAACGCGAAAACCCCGCAAGGGGUUAGUAGAGUGGCAAACGGGUGAGUAACGCGUGGGCGACCUACCUCAGAGUGGGGGAUAACCUUCCGAAAGGAGGGCUAAUACCGCAUGACAUUCCGUGUUUGGAUACACGGACAUCAAAGCCGGGGAUCGCAAGACCUGGCGCCUGGAGAGGGGCCCGCGUCCGAUUAGCUAGUUGGUGAGGUAACGGCUCACCAAGGCUUCGAUCGGUAUCCGGCCUGAGAGGGCGGACGGACACACUGGAACUGAGACACGGUCCAGACUCCUACGGGAGGCAGCAGUAGGGAAUUGUUCGCAAUGGGCGCAAGCCUGACGACGCAACGCCGCGUGGAGGAUGAAGACUUUCGGGUCGUAAACUCCUUUCGACCGAGAUGAAUACUCUCUUACCUAAUACGUUUGAGAGCUGACAGUAUCGAGGGAAGAAGCCCCGGCUAACUCCGUGCCAGCAGCCGCGGUAAUACGGGGGGGGCAAGCGUUGUUCGGAAUUACUGGGCGUAAAGGGUUCGUAGGUGGCUUUCUAAGUCAGACGUGAAAUCCCUCAGCUUAACUGGGGAACUGCGUCUGAGACUGGCGAGCUUGAGUGCAGGAGAGGAACGCGGAAUUCCAGGUGUAGCGGUGAAAUGCGUAGAUAUCUGGAGGAACACCGGUGGCGAAGGCGGCGUUCUGGACUGUAACUGACACUGAGGAACGAAAGCCAGGGGAGCAAACGGGAUUAAAUACCCCGGUAGUCCUGGCCCUAAACGAUGAAUGCUUGGUGUGGCGGGUAUCGAUCCCGCCCGAUACGGAAGUUAACUCGUUAAGCAUUCCACCCUGGGGAGUACGGAUCGCAAGGCUGAAACUAAAGGAAAUUGAGGGGGGCCAGCACAAGCGGUGGAGAAGGUGGUUCAAUUCGAACGCACGCGAAGAACUUACCUGGGCUCGAAGUGUAGAGAACAAUCGGAGAAAGUCGGACUUCCGCGAGGACAUCUGCAGAGGUGCUGCAUGGCUGUCGUCAGCUCGUGUCGUGAGAUGAUGGGUUAGGUCCCGCAACGAGCGCAACCCUUGUUCUCUGUUGCCAUCAGGUAAAGCUGGGCACUCUGAGGAGACUGCCGGUGACAAACCGGAGGAAGGUGGGGAUGACGUCAAGUCAGCAUGGCCUUUAUGUCCAGGGCUACACACGUGCUACAAUGGCCGGUACAAACCGUUGCGAGCCCGCGAGGGGGAGCUAAUCGGAAAAAGCCGGUCUCAGUUCGGAUUGCAGGCUGCAACUCGCCUGCAUGAAGUUGGAAUCGCUAGUAAUCGCGGAUCAGCAUGCCGCGGUGAAUACGUUCCCGGGCCUUGUACACACCGCCCGUCACAUCACGAAAGCUGGCUGUACUAGAAAUCGCUGCGUUAACCCGCAAGGGAGACAGGCGCUUAAGGUAUGGUCAGUGAUUGGGGUGAAGUCGUAACAAGGUAACC
RNAcentral lists this ribosomal RNA (1498 nucleotides) under uncultured bacterium. RNAcentral describes it as "bacterial SSU rRNA". It matches the Rfam family "Bacterial small subunit ribosomal RNA". The record is from RNAcentral.